GCAGCCAGCAACUUACUGCUCGUGCUUGCAAUCGUGCACACGUAACGUAAAAGAGACUGAACGUGAUUCAAUGCUGCGAUAUACUCAUGGCGAAGUACUUUUCCGUUCUUUGCUUAGAAGUAAAAGGAAGUUGGAAAGUGAUAUACUGUUAACAAACUUCCAAACGCCGUCCACGCUGCUGAGAGCGACGUUUAAAUGAAUCUGAGUGCUGCGCCAUAACAAAAAUGACAGCAGUGAGAAUGCAGCCGUUAAGAAAGCAUCUGAUCAUAGCGAUGUGGAUAAUAUGUUUGCACCAGCUCAACAAUUGACCGGGUUCAUGUCGACAGAUGAGGUUUAACAGCUCGAUGAGAAAGCAGUGAGCAGCAAAACAUGCCUCGAGGAAAUACCACAGUAUGUGCACUCCAACCAGGCCAUUAUGCCGAAUGCAGGACCAUAGAGGUUAUAGGAGAAGUGACCAGAGAAGCCUUCAACACUUUUCUUUCUGGAGUGAUUUCCACUGUCACAGCAUGAAAGCUAUCCUGCAAGGUGCCACUGAAUUCAGCAGCACUGGAGCACACACCUCAGGACACCAGACCGUCCAGGUGCAGCAGGCUGCCUUGAGAUAGAGAACAGAUUGCUAACCAGUGGGAUGACAUUUAGAUCAGCUCUAUGAGUCUCAUUAGUGGGGGUUAUCUUCUAUCUGUAUGCCAAAGACAUUUAUUAUAAUAAAAUUGCAGAAAGCAAGUAUACGAUUUAAUACCAUUGUAGUCAUGUGCUGAUGAAUAUUCCAUAGUACUUUAAUAUGUAUCAUCAUUAUAUAUCACUGUCAAUUUGCGCAUUGGUGUUUAUUAGUGACUCUUUCAGUAUAUUACAUACCAGUAGGCGGUGACAAGUGGCUAUCUUUAUGAGUGAGUCAUUUGAAUCAUUCAUUCAACCGAUU
Megalobrama amblycephala (Wuchang bream) is the source of this 919-nucleotide long non-coding RNA. RefSeq lists it as uncharacterized. The record is from RefSeq and is a predicted model, not a curated record. The transcript has 3 exons. NCBI's taxonomy places the organism in Eukaryota, Metazoa, Chordata, Actinopteri, Cypriniformes, Xenocyprididae.